Molecule: ribosomal RNA, 170 nt
Filed under: uncultured bacterium
Lineage: Bacteria
Description: partial 16S ribosomal RNA
Rfam family: Bacterial small subunit ribosomal RNA
Source: RNAcentral
AGCUGGAUUCGCUAGUAAUCGCGCAUCAGCCACGGCGCGGUGAAUACGUUCCCGGGCCUUGUACACACCGCCCGUCAAGCCAUGGGAGCCGGGGGGUACCUGAAGUGCGUAACCGCGAGGAGCGCCCUAGGGUAAAACUGGUGACUGGGGCUAAGUCGUAACAAGGUACC